AUAGCAGGCUUCAGAUCACUUGUAAAUGCAGAUCUCCAGAGUUUUCUGAAGGGCGCGAGUCCGCGCGGCUGACUAACUUCAACAUUUUUUCUCAAAGCAGCACCGAGCAGCAAGCGUGCAGCCAUGCAACGGCUCUCCUUCCACUCUCCCGAAGCCCAGUGGAGUUGGCAGGGUGCAGCAGUCACCCCAGGCUUUUCUGCACCACGCACAGCUUUCUCAUGUACUGGCUACGUUCCGACAGACGGACCCGUGAAGUGCGCAUGACGCGCCAGAACGCACGACACACAGGCAAAAGAACCAACCCAAAAAACAAAAACCCUCACAAGUGCCAGAGGUCAGCACUGCGGGUCUCCGAGGGCUCAACCCCUCCCACGGUUCACCUCACAGCCCCGCAGCCAGUCGCACAACACCUCUGCUGAGCCUCAUUGCCGUAUGGUCAAGGUGCGUGAAGGGCACGACCGGCACAGCUUUGCUAUUUUAAUAGAGCAAAACCAUCCAUCUGCGUUUUAAAUAAAUGGCCUCGUUCUUUUAAUUUGUGUUUUUUUGACCCUAACAUGUUCUGUUAGGGCAGGUUGCUGGGAAUGUCCCUGCAGGGGACAUUCAUUCAGAAGACAGUAGCGUUCUCAUGAUAAAGGUAAGAAAAACAUUUUUUUUUUGUUGGUUUUGUCAGUGAUGAGCAAGUGUGGGACACUCCCAGAAGGCCUAAAGUGUAUGUGGAAUCUCGAUGAACUAGAAUGUCAGGAUAAAAAGAUCUCUGCAUGAUGCGUGGUAGAGAGAAAAGAGAUUUUACAAUAACAGACACCUAACGUGGGGCCCGAGGUGUGUCUCCUCUUUAAUGAUACAAGAUGGCAGCUGCGAAGGAUUCCGCCCCUCAAGGUUGCUGCUAAUAGGGUUUCACAUGCAGAAAGAAACUCUUGAGAUUGAUUCAUGUUACGUUGAUCUUAUACGCUUUUCUGCCCUCCCACAAUCUUGAUAUCAAAAAGAUAAAGUCAAACGGAAGCAGCGAAGCGUGGCUGGUGGGAAGAGUGUGAGGGUCAGAGGUGAGAAACAGAUUAAAGACAUCCUCCCCUCCUCUCUGCACCAACCGAUACUCAUCUGCUUUGGCAAAGAAGACAAACAAGUAUCGAUAUCCGCACCGAACAGUCGUUUGGACUCCAUUAACGGGCAGUUAGAUGCCAGCUGGUAGUGAAGCCCACACACAAGCCUAAAGUAUAUGGCAGCCCACCUGGAAGUGUGGGCUCCUGCUGCUGUAGUCGCUCCUCCACCAUGUAUGGAUGAUGUUGUGUAAUAAGCCAAGACCUCGAAAGCACUUUUUGUUGUAUAACACUUUUUUUUAGGAUUAGUAAUAUGAUGUUGGAGCAGCCGUAAAUAGACCCAAGAGCCGAGAUACGAAGCUGGUUUGACUCUGAU
RNAcentral lists this long non-coding RNA (1410 nucleotides) under Takifugu rubripes (torafugu). Its description in RNAcentral is "lncRNA (ENSTRUG00000026498.1)". The record is from RNAcentral. Lineage: Eukaryota; Metazoa; Chordata; Actinopteri; Tetraodontiformes; Tetraodontidae.